Molecule: ribosomal RNA, 253 nt
Filed under: uncultured bacterium
Lineage: Bacteria
Description: partial 16S ribosomal RNA
Rfam family: Bacterial small subunit ribosomal RNA
Source: RNAcentral
UACGUAGGGAGCAAGCGUUGUCCGGAAUCAUUGGGCGUAAAGCGCGCGUAGGCGGCCCUGUAAGUCCGCUGUGAAAGUCAAAGGCUCAACCUUUGAAAGCCGGUGGAUACUGCAGGGCUAGAGUCCGGAAGAGGCGAGUGGAAUUCCUGGUGUAGCGGUGGAAUGCGCAGAUAUCAGGAGGAACACCAAUAGCGAAGGCAGCUCGCUGGGACGGUACUGACGCUAAGGCGCGAAAGCGUGGGGAGCAAACAGG